GAUGAACGCUGGCGGCGUGCCUAACACAUGCAAGUCGAGCGAUCUUCUUCGGAAGAGAGCGGCGGACGGGUGAGUAACGCGUGGGUAACCUGCCCUGUACACACGGAUAACAUACCGAAAGGUAUGCUAAUACGAGAUAAUAUACUUUUAUCGCAUGGUAGAAGUAUCAAAGCUCUGGCGGUACAGGAUGGACCCGCGUCCGAUUAGCUGGUUGGUAAGGUAACGGCUUACCAAGGCGACGAUCAGUAGCCGACCUGAGAGGGUGAUCGGCCACAUUGGAACGGAGACACGGUCCAAACUCCUACGGGAGGCAGCAGUGGGGAAUAUUGCACAAUGGGCGAAAGCUUGAUGCAGCAACGCCGCGUGAGCGAUGAAGGCCUUCGGGUCGUAAAGCUCUGUCCUCAAGGAAGAUAAUGACGGUACUUGAGGAGGAAGCCCCGGCUAACUACGUGCCAGCCGCCGCAGUAA
Molecule: ribosomal RNA, 468 nt
Filed under: uncultured bacterium
Lineage: Bacteria
Description: partial 16S ribosomal RNA
Rfam family: Bacterial small subunit ribosomal RNA
Source: RNAcentral